CUGCCUUCUUUUGGCCUCACUUUAAGUUUCCUCCCAUGCCUAAGUGGAACCAUCCCCCUUUGCCCAAGUUUCCACUUCCCCCAUUCAAAGGCUUCCACCACCAUUAUCCAAUAAUCCCUCCCAUCUACAAGAAACCUCUUCCGCCACCGUCCCCGGUGUACAAGCCCCCUCCAGUUCCCGUAAACCCACCUGUUCCAAUCUAUAAACCUCCACCAGUUCCAGUCUAUAAACCUCCUCCAGUUCCAGUAAAACCACUUCCUCCACCUGUUCCGAUCUACAAACCUCCACCAGUUGAAAAACCACAUCCUCCACCUGUUCCAAUCUACAAACCUCCACCAGUUGAAAAACCACAUCCUCCACCUGUUCCAAUCUACAAACCUCCACCAGUUGAAAAACCACAUCCUCCACCUGUUCCAGUUUAUAAACCUCCACCAGUUGAAAAACCACAUCCUCCACCUGUUCCAGUCUAUAAACCUCCACCAGUUCCAGUAUAUAAGAAACCAUGUCCUCCACCAGUUCCAGUCUAUAAAUCUCCUCCGGUUCCAGUAUACAAGAAACCGCAUCCUCCUCCAGUUCCAGUCUAUAAGAAACCACAUCCACCUCCAGUUCCAGUAUACAAGAAACCAUGUCCUCCCCCAGUUCCAGUCUAUAAAUCUCCUCCAGUUCCGGAACCACAUCCUCCGCCAGUUCCAGUCCAUAAGCCUCCUCCAGUUCCGGUAUACAAGAAACGAGUCCCUCCUCCGGUUCCAAUCUACAAGCCCCCUCCAGUUCCUGUAUACAACAAACCACUACCUCCCCGGGUUCCAGUGUAUACGAAGCCACUUCCACCACCUGUUCCAACCUACAAUCCAAAACCCCUCCCUCCCAUUCCUUACAAGCCACUCCCUCCACUUCCCAAGAUCCCUCCAUUCCCUAAGAAGCCAUGCCCUCCCCUUCCUAAGCUACCUCCUCUUCCCAAGAUUCCUCCCAAGUAUUUCCACCACCACCCUCCUCUUCCUAAGCUGCCUCCUCUCCCUAAGAUUCCUCCCAAGUAUUUCCACCACCACCCCAAGUUCGGAAAAUGGCCUCCUUUGCCACCCUUUGCUCCCCAUCAUCCUUAAGCUAUCUUGCAUUGUUUUACGCAUUUAAUGAAGGUGGUUAGUGUGAACAAGUUCCCCAGCAGUACCUCAUGCAAUAAAUGUAGCAACAAAAGAAG
Molecule: long non-coding RNA, 1195 nt
Filed under: Gossypium barbadense (sea-island cotton)
Lineage: Eukaryota; Viridiplantae; Streptophyta; Magnoliopsida; Malvales; Malvaceae
Description: long non-coding RNA (GBAR_LNC000810)
Source: RNAcentral